Gasterosteus aculeatus aculeatus (three-spined stickleback) is the source of this 1915-nucleotide long non-coding RNA. Lineage: Eukaryota; Metazoa; Chordata; Actinopteri; Perciformes; Gasterosteidae. The record is from Ensembl.
CACACAGGUAGACACACAGGUAGACACACAGGUAGACACACAGGUAGACACACAGGUGAGCACACAGGUAGACACACAGGUGAGCACACAGGUAGACACACAGGUAGACACACAGGUGAGCACACAGGUAGACACACAGGUAGACACACAGGUAGACACACAGGUGAGCUCCACAGGGCCCGCAGUGGAAAAGACACUGGCUUAAAUGAGUAUACUAGAAGCUAGAUGGCUAGUUAGCUGCUGAAGCUACACGAGUGGUAAGCUGUUAGUUGCUGUGAGGACGGACUCAUCAGUAGCUGAUUUUAACUGCCUGGCUUCUUCUGCACGCUCACAUUUGCUUUGCAGCAUCGACCAGAAAGAAGGCUCCCCGUGUCUUCGGCCAUGGCCUCCGAUAGCCCCUCCUCCCAAGCAGCUUCCACCUACCUGACCGCGCACACCAACGAGAUGGUGGAGCUGCAGCACCUGAACGGCCGCUUAACCAGCUACAUCGAGAGGUUGCACUUCCUGGAGCAGCAGAACCAGACGCUGGCGGCGGAGGUGAAGCGGCUGCGAGGCCGUAAGCUCACGCGCUUUGAAAGGUAUGAGAGCCAGGUGGGAGGAGCCAGGUGGGAGGGGCCAGGGGGCGUGUGUGUGUGAUGGACAGAAGAUUUCUGUGUAUUGUUGUGUGUUUGAGUGAAAGAGAAAACAACAUUUGUGUGAGUUUUUCAGCAGCUGAGAGGGAAACUGUGAAAGUGACUUUAGAGAAGAAGUCAGGCUGAAGAAGAAAGAUCUGCCGAUUUAAUCAUGAAGAUGACGUGAUGAUGAUGACGAUGAUGGACGUCCGUCAUCUGGUUGUUCUGGUGACAGGAAGUGUCCUUAAAAAGGAUUCUUAUUUGUAGACUUUAACAUGACCAAAGUUGAAUUAGGAGUAUUUCCAUUUUUGGUUUUCGUUUAACAGCUUUGAGGAAAAAGUAAGUUCAAUAUCCAGCAAUUCCACAGUAUCAGAGGAACAAUCUUUUCAUUGAGUAAAAGUGACCGUCAGUACAACGUACAUUAAUAUUAGAGAGGUAGUACUAUGCAGCAUGUUAUAUUUUCAUACUGGAAUAUGUUUGUUGGUGUGAUCAAAAAAGCUUCUCAGAUGAACCCGACGUUGAUGUCGAUGAUGUCGUUGUCUCACCUGCUCCUCCAGGCUCAUGGAGCAGACUCCCCAGAAGGAGGACGUGGAGAGCAACCUGGCUGCUUCCGGGGGGGUGACGCCUGUGUAGCGUGUCUCCACCCACAGCUUCUCCACAACGCAGAAGAAGCUCCUCCUGACGUUUCUCGUAUGUCUUCCUUCAUGUGCAGAGCUGCUGACCGUUAAAAGCAAUGUGGACGCCUCUGACCCGUUUGUCUUACUAUGCUAAAAAUCACAGCUCAACAUUGUUAAGGAACAACAAGGCAGCUCGCUGAGGUAGAGUGAAGAAAAGAGGAUGUCUUCAGAGAUACAGAACAGCGGAGCGAAGUGAAUGACCAGCGAGAGAAGAGGCCUAAGGGGCACGUGUGAGGGAGUAACGCUGUACAUCAGUAACAACGUUGUAUCUUUACCGUGAAGGACAUGAGUGAGUCUCUGUACCUGCAACAUCUGCUCCACCGUCAGCUUCAUCAACGGGUCGACAUCAUGUGAGGAGGAGCAGAGAGAAGAAGAGACGACGAGGGACAAGAACAUAGAGACUCUUCUGGGUUAAAGCGUGAGCAGCAGAGUGAUGCUGUUAUUCACUCUAUUGGGAUGUAUUUAUCUGUGGUUUAAUGUAUAUAUAUUAUAUUAUAUUUCCGAGAAUAACUGAGACGGACUUGAUUUGUUUUUUGUAUCAAUUCACAAUAAAAUGAACAUAAUUGCAUCAGAGAGGCUGCUGACAAAUAAAAGAAUUUUCCAAUGGCCUAAAAAAUAAAACACUGC